RNAcentral lists this long non-coding RNA (510 nucleotides) under Homo sapiens (human). RNAcentral's name for it is "HSALNT0223927". Lineage: Eukaryota; Metazoa; Chordata; Mammalia; Primates; Hominidae. The record is from RNAcentral.
CAGGAACACAAAAAGCCCAACAGUAUCCAGAAAUGUAAACUGAGCAAGGAAGAACAACAGGAGAUACAGCUACAAUGAAUCUAGGCUUUGUUCUCUAACAAGGGUGGACCCUGUCAAUCAUAUAAGAAAGGAGAUCCUGCCUGAGCUACAAGGCUGAACAAAAGGAAGCAAAAACCCACCAUCCGGACAUAGAAGCCAACACUUGAGUCAAAGUCUUUUCAGGGAAUUGGACAGUAUCUGAGUGGCUAUAUAUGUGGUUGUCUUCAAUCCAGAGCCUCCUUAUGUCUUUUGUUUUGUUGCAAUGCGGACAUCUCUUACGCAUAUGAUUCAUAGUUACCAACCACAUACUGUAAGAGUCAGAAGUGCAUGCAUCAAGAAAAGGAGAACUGGGGGAAUGUCAUAUACAGAGGAACAGGAAUGGGUAUGUGUAUGUUACGCUGGAGAACAGACAGGCAAAAUCAUAGGGUAUCAUGGACAUAAAGAUCCUAAAAAUGAGAUUCUCCUAAAUAC